AGCUCCAAUAGCGUAUAUUAAAGUUGCUGCAGUUAAAAAGCUCGUAGUUGCAUUUCCGAGGCAAGGGAUUAGUCCGACCUUUGGUGGGUAUUUAAUCCUCUUGCCUCGUCCUUGAGUGGUGCUUCUUGGUAUUAAGUUAUCGAGGAGAUAGCCGCUCAUCGUUUACUGUGAGAAAAUUAGAGUGUUCAAAGCAGGCUUAUGCCGUUGAAUAUAUUAGCAUGGAAUAAUAAGAUAGGACCUCGGUACUAUUUUGUUGGUUUGAGAACCAAGGUAAUGAUGAAUAGGGACAGUUGGGGGUAUUCGUAUUCAGUUGUCAGAGGUGAAAUUCUUAGAUUAAGGGAAGACGAACUACUGCGAAAGCAUUUACCAAGGAUGUUUUCA
RNAcentral lists this ribosomal RNA (381 nucleotides) under uncultured marine Chaetocerotaceae. Its description in RNAcentral is "SSU rRNA". It matches the Rfam family "Eukaryotic small subunit ribosomal RNA", at positions 587 to 972 of the family's 1831-position model. The record is from RNAcentral. Lineage: Eukaryota; Bacillariophyta; Thalassiosirophyceae; Chaetocerotales; Chaetocerotaceae.